UGCACCAAAGGCUUUUCAGUGUUGUCGUCGGCUUCAGCAUCGGUGUCAUUACCAAGAGGAAACACCUCGACAUCGCCAGAAAAGCUUACACUCUUUCUCGGUUUCUUCUGUGUUGGUUUCUUCUCCUUAGAGGUCUCGGCAUCAUUAAAGGUUCUCUCCUUCCCACUGACAUUUUCUCUCAAUGAUUCCAACCCACCAACCACAACUUCCUUUCCCUUCUUCUGUUUCUUAUUCUGAACCUUGUCUUCCGCCGACAAUUGUUG
RNAcentral lists this unclassified non-coding RNA (263 nucleotides) under Hevea brasiliensis (rubber tree). The record is from RNAcentral. Lineage: Eukaryota; Viridiplantae; Streptophyta; Magnoliopsida; Malpighiales; Euphorbiaceae.